This 427-nucleotide ribosomal RNA is filed under the name uncultured soil bacterium. Its description in RNAcentral is "bacterial SSU rRNA". It matches the Rfam family "Bacterial small subunit ribosomal RNA", at positions 26 to 454 of the family's 1533-position model. The record is from RNAcentral.
AGAGUGAACGCUGGCGGUAGGCCUAACACAUGCAAGUCGAACGGCAGCACAGUAGGAGCUUGCUCUUACGGGUGGCGAGUGGCGGACGGGUGAGGAAUACAUCGGAAUCUACCUUUUGGUGGGGGAUAACGUAGGGAAACUUACGCUAAUACCGCAUACGCCCUUCGGGGGAAAGCCGGGGACCAGCAAUGGCCUGGCGCUGAUAGAUGAGCCGAUGUCGGAUUAGCUAGUUGGUGAGGUAAUGGCUCACCAAGGCGACGAUCCGUAGCUGGUCUGAGAGAACGACCAGCCACACUGGGACUGAGACACGGCCCAGACUCCUACGGGAGGCAGCAGUGGGAAUUUGGACAAUGGGCGAAAGCCUGAUCCAGCAAUGCGCGUGCAGGAAGAAGCCUCGGUGUAACUGUCUUUGACGAGACGAAAGUCU